UGUUGGACCAGUGCGGACGCGUCCUGGAGUUCGCGUCGAAUCCUGAGUGGAGGCUGCAGCGCGGACGCGGCUUCUC
RNAcentral lists this long non-coding RNA (76 nucleotides) under Pongo abelii (Sumatran orangutan). Its description in RNAcentral is "lincRNA". The record is from RNAcentral. Lineage: Eukaryota; Metazoa; Chordata; Mammalia; Primates; Hominidae.